Molecule: unclassified non-coding RNA, 330 nt
Organism: Erinaceus europaeus (western European hedgehog)
Lineage: Eukaryota; Metazoa; Chordata; Mammalia; Eulipotyphla; Erinaceidae
Gene: 7SK
Rfam family: 7SK RNA
About the family: 7SK was discovered as an abundant small nuclear RNA in the mid-70s but a possible function has only recently been suggested. Two independent studies have found that 7SK RNA binds the CDK9/cyclin T complex (known as elongation factor P-TEFb).
Source: Ensembl
AGAUGUGAGGGCCAUCUGACUGUGACAUCUGUCACCCCAUUGAUCACCAGGGUUGAUUCAGCUGAUCUGGCUGGCUAGGUGGGUGUCUCCUUCCUCCCUCACCACUCCAUGAGUUUCCCUCCUGAAGCUGUGCUCUCAGCCAAAGAGGAUGGCCUUCCCCGAAUAGAGAGGGACCAGUCUUCAGUCCAGGGUAUAUUAGUAGCUGUGCUCCCCUGCUAGAACCUCCAAACAAGCUCUCAAGGUCCAUUUGUAGAAUAACAUAGGGUAGUCAAGUUUCCAAGACUCCAGACACAUCCAAGAGGCACUGCAUGUGGGAGUCUGCCUUUCUAA